CCUACGGGAGGCUGCAGUGAGGAAUAUUGGUCAAUGGGCGCGAGCCUGAACCAGCCAAGUCGCGUGAGGGAGGACGGCCCUACGGGUUGUAAACCUCUUUUGCCGGGGAGCAACGGGCGCCACGUGUGGCGUCACUGAGAGUACCCGGAGAAAAAGCAUCGGCUAACUCCGUGCCAGCAGCCGCGGUAAUACGGAGGAUGCGAGCGUUAUCCGGAUUUAUUGGGUUUAAAGGUUGCGAAGGCGGAUCGUUAAGUCAGUGGUCAAAUUGAGGGGCUCAACCCCUUCCCGACAGUGAAACUGGCGUUCUUGAGUGUAAGAGAAGGAUGCGGAAUGCGGGGUGUAGCGGGGAAAUGCAUAGAUAUCACGCAGAACCCCGAUUGCGAAGGCAGCAUGCCGGCUUCCGACUGACGCUGAAGCACGAAAGCGUGGGGAUCGAACAGGAUUAGAUACCCCAGUAGUC
This 460-nucleotide ribosomal RNA is filed under the name uncultured bacterium. RNAcentral's name for it is "partial 16S ribosomal RNA". It matches the Rfam family "Bacterial small subunit ribosomal RNA", at positions 338 to 795 of the family's 1533-position model. The record is from RNAcentral.